GUGGCUGUAGCUCAGUUGGUUAGAGCGCCUGGUUGUGGCCCAGGAGGUCGGCGGUUCAAAUCCGCUCAGCCACCCCA
Molecule: transfer RNA, 77 nt
Filed under: Rhodospirillaceae bacterium
Lineage: Bacteria; Pseudomonadati; Pseudomonadota; Alphaproteobacteria; Rhodospirillales; Rhodospirillaceae
Description: tRNA-His
Rfam family: tRNA
About the family: Transfer RNA (tRNA) molecules are approximately 80 nucleotides in length. Their secondary structure includes four short double-helical elements and three loops (D, anti-codon, and T loops).
Source: RNAcentral